GCCCCCAUAGCUCAACGGAUAGAGCGUCUGACUUCGGAUCAGAAGGCUGCGGGUUCGAAUCCUGCUGGGGGUG
Molecule: transfer RNA, 73 nt
Filed under: Chloroflexi bacterium HGW-Chloroflexi-1
Lineage: Bacteria; Bacillati; Chloroflexota
Description: tRNA-Arg
Rfam family: tRNA
About the family: Transfer RNA (tRNA) molecules are approximately 80 nucleotides in length. Their secondary structure includes four short double-helical elements and three loops (D, anti-codon, and T loops).
Source: RNAcentral